This 592-nucleotide ribosomal RNA is filed under the name fungal sp. Its description in RNAcentral is "eukaryotic LSU rRNA". The stretch from base 226 to 379 matches the Rfam family "5.8S ribosomal RNA". The record is from RNAcentral. Lineage: Eukaryota; Fungi.
AGUCGUAACAAGGUUUCCGUAGGUGAACCUGCGGAAGGAUCAUUACUGAGUUAGGGUCCUCUGGGCCCGAACCUCCAACCCUAUGUUUAACUACUUUGUUGCUUUGGCAGGCCCGCCUUUCGGGGCCGCCGGAGGGGUUAAGUCACCUCUGGUCAGUGCUUGUCAGUAGCCAAUCUAAAUUCUUUAUAAUUAUGAAGUCUGAAUCUUUAAUUAAAAUUUAAUUAAAACUUUCAACAACGGAUCUCUUGGUUCUGGCAUCGAUGAAGAACGCAGCGAAAUGCGAUAAGUAAUGUGAAUUGCAGAAUUCAGUGAAUCAUCGAAUCUUUGAACGCACAUUGCGCCCUUUGGUAUUCCGAAGGGCAUGCCUAUUCGAGCGUCAUUAUCAACCCUCAAGCCCGGCUUGUUAUUGGGUCCCUUAUCGUUAAAGAUAGGCCCGAAAGAUAAUGGCGGCGUCAUGAAUGACCCCAGGUGCAGCGAGCUUAUAGCAUACACUGAGGUGGUCUUUGUGGUCCGGCCCCUUUACGUUAAAGCAAUUUAACUAAAUUCAAAGGUUGACCUCGGAUUAGGUAGGAAUACCCGCUGAACUUAAGCA